Molecule: ribosomal RNA, 169 nt
Filed under: Trypauchen vagina (Indo-Pacific burrowing goby)
Lineage: Eukaryota; Metazoa; Chordata; Actinopteri; Gobiiformes; Gobiidae
Description: partial small subunit ribosomal RNA
Source: RNAcentral
CACCGCGGUUAUACGAGAGACCCAAGUUGACAUACAAACGGCGUAAAAAGUGGUUAGUACUACAUUUGACUAAAGCCAAACAUCUUCAAAGUUGUCAUAUGCUAUCGAAGAAAAGAAGCACUUUAACGAAAGUGGCUUUAAACAAUACAACCCCACGAAAGCUAGGGAA